CUGGUCCCUGGCCGCAGCCGACCCACUGCAUGGGAGGAAGGCUCGGGCCUGGCUUGGUCUCUCCUGAGCCAGGCCCUGGAGGGUCUUUCCAGACCCGGUUGGCAGCUAGCUGUGGCUCAAGGAGAUGGGCGUUGGCACAACAGACACGGCCCAGACGGUGGCCCAGGGCUGGGUCUGCUGGAGACUGAGCCAAAAAUCGCUGCCCUACGGGGGUCUGGAUUUCUCGGCUCUUCCCUUCACCCACAGCCCUGGAUGUAAAUGGAAUUAUACUGUUUUGCCCUCCACCACGGAGAAACAGGAAUGCAACAAAAAAAGCUCAUAGCUUCUCCCUUCCCCCCAGAUUUCAAGCUCUGUUGAAAGACAGUUUUGCCUUCAGUAUAACAGGACAGUGAAGAACCCUCAUCAGGAAAUGAGUAAAAAUCUCUCAAGCUAAAGUCAGAUGGAGGAAGGAAGAAAGAUCCAACACCCUGAUCCAGAUUCACAACCCACCCUGUGGAAGUGAGAGAUCGGAUGCAGCCUGGA
Heterocephalus glaber (naked mole-rat) is the source of this 522-nucleotide non-coding RNA. Lineage: Eukaryota; Metazoa; Chordata; Mammalia; Rodentia; Bathyergidae. The record is from RefSeq and is a predicted model, not a curated record.